AGGACAAACGCUGGCGGCGUACCUAAGACAUGCAAGUCGAACGGGGGAUGGACCCUUCGGGGACCAUCUCGAGUGGCGAACGGGUGAGUAACACGUAGGAACCUGACGUUUGGUGGGGGAUAACGCUGGGAAACCGGCGCUAAUACCGCAUGAGGUCCCCGGAAACGGGGAGCAAAGCAGCAAUGCGCCAGAUGAGGGGCCUGUGGCCGAUUAGCUAGUUGGUGAGGUAAAGGCCCACCAAGGCGACGAUCGGUAGCUGGUCUGAGAGGAUGGUCAGCCACACUGGGACUGAGACACGGCCCAGACUCCUACGGGAGGCAGCAGUUAGGAAAUUUUCGCAAUGGGGGAAACCCUGACGGAGUAACGCCGCGUGGAGGAUGACGGCUUUCGGGUUGUAAACUCCUUUUCUGUGGGAAGAGUAGAAGACGGUACCGCAGGAAGAAGCCUCGGCUAACUACGUGCCAGCAGCCGC
This 472-nucleotide ribosomal RNA is filed under the name uncultured bacterium. Its description in RNAcentral is "SSU rRNA". It matches the Rfam family "Bacterial small subunit ribosomal RNA", at positions 26 to 518 of the family's 1533-position model. The record is from RNAcentral.